Molecule: unclassified non-coding RNA, 383 nt
Filed under: Hevea brasiliensis (rubber tree)
Lineage: Eukaryota; Viridiplantae; Streptophyta; Magnoliopsida; Malpighiales; Euphorbiaceae
Source: RNAcentral
UCCACCUGUUCAAAGCUGAGCCCUUUCGUCUCCGGCACAAACAAGAACACAAACACAAACGCGACCACAGCCACCCCAGCAAUGAUCAAGAAGGUCCCCGCAGUCCCUACAACCGAUACGAUCGAAAGAAACGUCUGAGCCACGAUCAAGUUCGAUAUCCAGUUCACAGUAGCCGACAUGCCUCCACAAGUCCCUCUAUAUGCCUCUGGGUAGAUUUCCGAAUUCACCGCCCAUGGCACGGGACCCAUGCCUGGGGAGAAAAAGGCUAUGUAUAAUCCCAGGCCUACCACCGCAAGCCAUCCAAGGUUCUGUAAAAAGAAUGCUGCAGAGAGUAUCAAUAGGGCAACAAUGACACCAAAGAGGCUGCUAAGUGCCAAAAGGCG